Long non-coding RNA from Myodes glareolus (Bank vole), 1148 nucleotides. RefSeq lists it as uncharacterized. NCBI's taxonomy places the organism in Eukaryota, Metazoa, Chordata, Mammalia, Rodentia, Cricetidae. The record is from RefSeq and is a predicted model, not a curated record.
ACAUCACGAGGCAGGUUAAAAGCCAUGCCUGCCCUCUUUCCUUAUUCUUCUCUUUGAUUACUAGAAGUCCUGUUUGCACAUUGCAAAGAUUUUACCGAAUAGUUCCAGAGAUGUUAGGUCACACCCAGUGGAGGAAAGUUCUGGGCUAUUGAGAGAGCCAAAAGAAGCCCAGGAUAAUUUGGCUCUUGACUUGAGACAGCCUACUUUCUCUGCAUCAUUGAAGUUCUCAUCAGUGAGUCAGCCUUGCAGAAGGCUGAGUGUGAUAUGUCGUUCUUUCCAGGACCUUUUAUCCACAGUGACAAUGAUGUCAUGAAAGGAAGAGAGCAUGUUAGCUCUGCUGAAGACAAACACGCUGGCAUGAAGAGUAGUAGAACCCAUUAGAAAGUGAAGUUGAAAAGGACUAAAGAUACAGCGUUUAGAAGCUCCAUUCGGAAGUAAAAAUUUGACAUAAACGGAGCUUCAAAAAAUGUGUCAAAGAAAUGAAACAGAUAACAAAUAGCUGGAGGCCAAGGCUCUGGUGGACGUCAGGACAUUGUAAAGCAUCAACCGUCUGUGGAUGUAGAAGCAUUGACUGUGGUUGUUAGCUGUGGUACAGAUAAGUCAGAGAAAAAUAUCAGACUUGGGUCCUGGAUGUGGGAGACAUACAGAAGGUUUGGGUCAGCUGUAAACCUUUGAGGGCUGGCAUUUGAAGUCUUUUCAAGUAGAAAAGGACAUACAAAACAUGAGGUGAACUUUGACUGCAGCUGCUGUUUGCUCUUAACACCAAGCAGGGAAGGAGCCAAGGCAUUUUUUGCAGAGAGAAAAGGCCAAAAGGAUUUUAUCAGAAUUGUAUGCAGACAAGAUGACUGUUCAUACCCGUCUGGAGGAACAGACUCUCAGGAUAGAGAAAUCACACUGGUUUCUCCACCAAUGUCCUUUGAUUUGUUGACGUUUUCUCAUUCUGAAGAAUGUGGAAAAGCUGAAGGGAAAUCAUCCACUCUUAGUAACAACACAACAUCAGCUCCUAGUCAUGGUGUCCAAUGGUUACAGACUAGAUGUUUACUAAGAUGAUGCUGACAUACAUACAAACAAAACAUAUCUAGUCUCUCAUGUAGACUCAAUUUGGGGGGAGAUAAAAUAUUGACUCCCUGUUAAUACUGUAUGCUAAU